CUGUAAGCCUGUGAAGGUGUACUGUGAGGUAUGCUGGAGGUAUCAGAAGUGCGAAUGCUGACAUAAGUAACGAUAAAGCGGGUGAAAAGCCCGCUCGCCGGAAGACCAAGGGUUCCUGUCCAACGUUAAUCGGGGCAGGGUGAGUCGACCCCUAAGGCGAGGCCGAAAGGCGUAGUCGAUGGGAAACAGGUUAAUAUUCCUGUACUUGGUGUUACUGCGAAGGGGGGACGGAGAAGGCUAUGUUGGCCGGGCGACGGUUGUCCCGGUUUAAGCGUGUAGGCUGGUUUUCCAGGCAAAUCCGGAAAAUCAAGGCUGAGGCGUGAUGACGAGGCACUACGGUGCUGAAGCAACAAAUGCCCUGCUUCCAGGAAAAGCCUCUAAGCAUCAGGUAACAUCAAAUCGUACCCCAAACCGACACAGGUGGUCAGGUAGAGAAUACCAAGGCGCUUGAGAGAACUCGGGUGAAGGAACUAGGCAAAAUGGUGCCGUAACUUCGGGAGAAGGCACGCUGAUAUGUAGGUGAAGUCCCUCGCGGAUGGAGCUGAAAUCAGUCGAAGAUACCAGCUGGCUGCAACUGUUUAUUAAAAACACAGCACUGUGCAAACACGAAAGUGGACGUAUACGGUGUGACGCCUGCCCGGUGCCGGAAGGUUAAUUGAUGGGGUUAGCGGUAACGCGAAGCUCUUGAUCGAAGCCCCGGUAAACGGCGGCCGUAACUAUAACGGUCCUAAGGUAGCGAAAUUCCUUGUCGGGUAAGUUCCGACCUGCACGAAUGGCGUAAUGAUGGCCAGGCUGUCUCCACCCGAGACUCAGUGAAAUUGAACUCGCUGUGAAGAUGCAGUGUACCCGCGGCAAGACGGAAAGACCCCGUGAACCUUUACUAUAGCUUGACACUGAACAUUGAGCCUUGAUGUGUAGGAUAGGUGGGAGGCUUUGAAGUGUGGACGCCAGUCUGCAUGGAGCCGGCCUUGAAAUACCACCCUUUAAUGUUUGAUGUUCUAACGUUGGCCCCUGAUCGGGGUUGCGGACAGUGUCUGGUGGGUAGUUUGACUGGGGCGGUCUCCUCCUAAAGAGUAACGGAGGAGCACGAAGGUUGGCUAAUCCUGGUCGGACAUCAGGAGGUUAGUGCAAUGGCAUAAGCCAGCUUGACUGCGAGCGUGACGGCGCGAGCAGGUGCGAAAGCAGGUCAUAGUGAUCCGGUGGUUCUGAAUGGAAGGGCCAUCGCUCAACGGAUAAAAGGUACUCCGGGGAUAACAGGCUGAUACCGCCCAAGAGUUCAUAUCGACGGCGGUGUUUGGCACCUCGAUGUCGGCUCAUCACAUCCUGGGGCUGAAGUAGGUCCCAAGGGUAUGGCUGUUCGCCAUUUAAAGUGGUACGCGAGCUGGGUUUAGAACG
RNAcentral lists this ribosomal RNA (1395 nucleotides) under Escherichia coli. RNAcentral describes it as "partial 23S ribosomal RNA". It matches the Rfam family "Bacterial large subunit ribosomal RNA", at positions 1241 to 2618 of the family's 2925-position model. The record is from RNAcentral. Lineage: Bacteria; Pseudomonadati; Pseudomonadota; Gammaproteobacteria; Enterobacterales; Enterobacteriaceae.